UACAGAGGGUGCAAACGUUGUUCGGAAUUACUGGGCGUAAAGCGCGUGCAGGCGGCCUUGCAAGUCGGACGUGAAAUCCCACGGCUCAACCGUGGAAGUGCAUUCGAAACUGCGAGGCUGGAGUCCUGGAGAGGAAAGUGGAAUACUCGGUGUAGAGGUGAAAUUCGUAGAUAUCGAGUGGAACACCGGUGGCGAAGGCAGCCCCCUGGGCUAACACUGACGCUCAUGCACGAAAGCGUGGGGAGCAAACAGG
This 253-nucleotide ribosomal RNA is filed under the name uncultured bacterium. Its description in RNAcentral is "partial 16S ribosomal RNA". It matches the Rfam family "Bacterial small subunit ribosomal RNA", at positions 524 to 776 of the family's 1533-position model. The record is from RNAcentral.